This 449-nucleotide ribosomal RNA is filed under the name Mantidactylus charlotteae. RNAcentral's name for it is "partial 16S ribosomal RNA". It matches the Rfam family "Bacterial large subunit ribosomal RNA", at positions 1981 to 2597 of the family's 2925-position model. Lineage: Eukaryota; Metazoa; Chordata; Amphibia; Anura; Mantellidae. The record is from RNAcentral.
UGAGGACNAGUAUCAACGGCCCCACRAGGGUUACACUGUCUCCUCUUUCURGUCMGUGAAACUAAUCUCCCCGUGAAGAAGCGGGGAUAUUUCUAUAAAACGAGAAGACCCUAUGGAGCUUCAAACCAAACUACACCCCAWAAUUCUNUMGCCCAUAAUCUAUUGGGCCCUGCAUAGUUKGUUUUAGGUUGGGGCGACCACGGAGUACAACGAAMCCUCCACAAUGAAYGGGACUACCCCCUUAUCUMAGGACUACMCCCCUAANAAUUAGAAUACUAAUAUAARAUGACCCAUUAUUUGAUCAAUGAACCAAGUUACCCUAGGGAUAACAGCGCANUCCAUUUCAAGAGCUCCMAUCGACAAGUGGGUUUACSACCUCGAUGUUGGAUCAGGGUAUCCCAGCGGUGCAGCAGCUACNAACGGUUCGUUUGUUCAACGAUUAAMACCCU